GAUGAAGAACGCAGCGAAAUGCGAUAAGUAAUGUGAAUUGCAGAAUUCAGUGAAUCAUCGAAUCUUUGAACGCACAUUGCGCCCCUUGGUAUUCCGAGGGGCAUGCCUGUUCGAGCGUCAUUAUAACCCUCAAGCUCAGCUUGGUGUUGGGGCCUGCUGCACUGGCAGCCCUUAAAAUCAGUGGCGGCGCCAUCUGGCUCUAAGCGUAGUAAUUCUUCUCGCUAUGGAGUCCUGGUGGAUGCUUGCCAUCAACCCCCCAUUUUUCUAUGGUUGACCUCGGAUCAGGUAGGGAUACCCGCUGAACUUAAGCAUAUCAAUAAGCGGAGGA
RNAcentral lists this unclassified non-coding RNA (328 nucleotides) under soil metagenome. RNAcentral's name for it is "partial contains 5.8S ribosomal RNA, internal transcribed spacer 2, and large subunit ribosomal RNA". The stretch from base 1 to 120 matches the Rfam family "5.8S ribosomal RNA", at positions 35 to 154 of the family's 154-position model. The record is from RNAcentral.